GAUGGGCUGUAUUGAAAUUGUUCCAACUUAUCAAAAAGAGUUUUGAUGAUAUUAUGAUAAAAAUCAUAAUGUGCCUCACUACUAGAUAGAAUAGAACCUAUGGGGUCACACACAAAAAAGUUUUUGUCUGAUCCGAUGAUUGAUCGAUGAUUAUGAAUCGUUAAGGAUAUAAUUAUUAAUACGAUUGAUAAUUAACCCAAUGCAAAAGUUGUAAGAGGAUUAAUUAAUAAUUUAAUUACUAAUUAGACUCAAUUUGAUUAAGAAAUAAAUUUUAGAUCAAGUCUAAUUG
RNAcentral lists this long non-coding RNA (289 nucleotides) under Elaeis guineensis (African oil palm). Its description in RNAcentral is "long non-coding RNA (EGUI_LNC056744)". Lineage: Eukaryota; Viridiplantae; Streptophyta; Magnoliopsida; Arecales; Arecaceae. The record is from RNAcentral.